CCUACGGGGAGCUGCAGUGGGGGAUAUUGCACAAUGGGGGGAACCCUGAUGCAGCGACGCCGCGUGGGUGAAGGAGCGUUUCGGCGCGUAAAGCUCUAUCGGCAGGGAAGAAGAAGGACGGUACCUGACUAAGAAGCCCCGGCUAACUACGUGCCAGCAGCCGCGGUAAUACGUAGGGGGCAAGGGUUAUCCGGCUUUACGGGGUGGAAAGGGGGCGAAGACGGCAGCGCAAGCCAGGAGUGAAAGCCCGGGGCCCACCCCCGGGACUGCUCUUGGUACUGCGCGGCUGGAGUGCAGGUGGGGCAGGAGGAAUGCCUGGUGUAGCGGUGAAAUGCGUAGAUAUCAGGAGGAACACCGGUGGCGAAGGCGGCCCGCGGGACUGCGACUGACGUUGAGGCCCGAAAGCGUGGGGAGCAAACAGGAUUAGAUACCCCUGUAGUC
Molecule: ribosomal RNA, 441 nt
Filed under: uncultured bacterium
Lineage: Bacteria
Description: partial 16S ribosomal RNA
Rfam family: Bacterial small subunit ribosomal RNA
Source: RNAcentral